AUUCACAAGGGUGAUGGACUGCCUUUUGCAUAAUGAGCCUGCGAGUUGUGGUGUCUGGCAA
This 61-nucleotide ribosomal RNA is filed under the name Campylobacter hyointestinalis subsp. lawsonii. Its description in RNAcentral is "partial 23S ribosomal RNA". Lineage: Bacteria; Pseudomonadati; Campylobacterota; Epsilonproteobacteria; Campylobacterales; Campylobacteraceae. The record is from RNAcentral.